CCUACGGGAGGCAGCAGUGGGGAAUAUUGGACAAUGGGCGAAAGCCUGAUCCAGCCAUGCCGCGUGUGUGAAGAAGGCCUUCGGGUUGUAAAGCACUUUCAGUGGGGAAGAAAGCCUUGGGGCUAAUACCCUCGAGGAAGGACAUCACCCACAGAAGAAGCACCGGCUAACUCCGUGCCAGCAGCCGCGGUAAUACGGAGGGUGCGAGCGUUAAUCGGAAUUACUGGGCGUAAAGCGCGCGUAGGCGGUCUGAUAAGCCGGUUGUGAAAGCCCCGGGCUCAACCUGGGAACGGCAUCCGGAACUGUCAGGCUAGAGUGCAGGAGAGGAAGGUAGAAUUCCCGGUGUAGCGGUGAAAUGCGUAGAGAUCGGGAGGAAUACCAGUAGCGAAGGCGGCCUUCUGGACUGACACUGACGCUGAGGUGCGAAAGCGUGGGUAGCAAACAGGAUUAAUACCCGGGUAGUC
Molecule: ribosomal RNA, 464 nt
Filed under: Vreelandella stevensii
Lineage: Bacteria; Pseudomonadati; Pseudomonadota; Gammaproteobacteria; Oceanospirillales; Halomonadaceae
Description: partial 16S ribosomal RNA
Rfam family: Bacterial small subunit ribosomal RNA
Source: RNAcentral